GUUGUGGCUCAGUGGUAGAUCUCUUGCCUAGUAUGUAUAAGGCACUGGGUUCGAGUCUCAGCAUUACA
Molecule: transfer RNA, 68 nt
Filed under: Marmota monax (woodchuck)
Lineage: Eukaryota; Metazoa; Chordata; Mammalia; Rodentia; Sciuridae
Description: tRNA.Thr
Source: RNAcentral